Molecule: long non-coding RNA, 1483 nt
Organism: Ctenopharyngodon idella (grass carp)
Lineage: Eukaryota; Metazoa; Chordata; Actinopteri; Cypriniformes; Xenocyprididae
Exons: 5
Source: RefSeq, a predicted model, not a curated record
AUCUGAUUCAUUUUGUGUUUUGACGCUCAGCAGCAGCACUUCCUCUAAGAGACGUUAUAAAGUUACACACAUCAAUCUGCACACAAGUUCAACCUGAACACGUUCAACAAGAUCACAGAAUGAAGACUCUGCUGCUUUCACUCCUCUGUGUGUUUGUGUGGUCUCAACACACAGAAGGUUUAACUGAUCAACAGGUCACUUUAGGACAGAAUGUGACUGUCACCUGUGAGUUUGGAUUAAAAGUCGUUAUAUGGUUUGUGAUAAAAUCAUCCGCUCAUCCAAUGAUGAUACUGCGAACAACUGGAUCUGAAGUGGCUCAAUAUUACGACAAAAAAUUCCGCAACAAAUAUUCAGAGGGUAGCAGGAGCCAAUUAAUUAUUAAUAAUAUCACUGCUGAUGAUUUAGGAACUUAUUACUGUGUAAAACCAAGCAGGACCACUCUAGAGAUCAGUGAUGGUAUCAGACUGGACACCACUGGAGCUCACCCAGAUCUCAGUGAACCAGAGCAACAAAAUCCACCACAAGAUCAGAGAUCAUAUCAGAUCCUGAUCGUCAUAUUAACCCUGUUGAUUGUUAUGCUAUCUGCUGCAGUAAUAGGUUUAUUAAUGAUGACCCGUAAGCUGUCUCAGAAGAUUCCUAAAUAUGUAAAUGGUCAUCAGAUUUCAGAAAGAAGAAUAACUUCUAUCCAGACCAACAGCGCUGUUGUUCCUCCUCAGAAUCCACUGACCGAUCAUGAAUAUCUAGAAGUACUGCCAUACUCUGCAUAUGAAAUAGCAUACUGAGAGACUGAUUGUUAUUUGAUUCUAAAGAUCAGAACUGUGUGCUGCUUUAACAUUAAAUGUCAAUCAAGUUUUAUGAUAACUUUUGAUUUUAGAAUUGAUCAACUUUGUAAAUAAUCAUAAACAAAUAAUCAAAGUUUUUGAUUAUUUGUUUAUGUCUCUUUCUGAGUUGCUAUUAACUGAGUGGAAUGGGAUGUAGUGAGUGUUGGGGAAAGUUACUUUUAAAAGUAAUAUUGUGUUACUCCCUAAAAAGUAACUAAUUGUGUUACUUAGUUACUUUUUCUGAAAAGUAAUGCAUUGCAUUACUUUUGUGUUAGUUUUUCUCUCCUGGGCUAGACUUGCUUGUUUGUUUGUUUUUUAUUACAAGAAUAAAUAAAUAAAUAAAAGUUACGUUUUGCAAAUGUAAAGGCCCUUUCACACCAAAAGUGAAAUGAAUAAGCCUCAGGCUGAAGGAAAUGCAAAUUCACUCCUGUACAGUAGAGGGUGCAACUCAAACCUUUCAGCUGUGCUGCCAUUCUGGAUUGCAGAAGAAUAGGACACAGGAGAAGAAAGUUCAACACUCUUACUUAAGCAAUAAAAACAAAAACAAAAAAAUGAAACACAAAUGUGAUGUUUAUCUAAAGUCAUUUUUGCUUAUGGAUGAACUGGAUCAUUGAAGGUCAGCAGCAAAGACAUUGGUUAAUAAAGUUGUGUAAUUUAAGAUA